GUGCCAGCAGCCGCGGUAAUACGGAGGGUGCGAGCGUUAAUCGGAAUUACUGGGCGUAAAGGGCGCGUAGGCGGUCGCGCAAGUCGGGUGUGAAAGCCCCGGGCUCAACCUGGGAAUUGCAUUCGAUACUGCGUAACUAGAGUCUGGUAGAGGGAAGCGGAAUUCCGCAUGUAGCGGUGAAAUGCGUAGAUAUGCGGAGGAACACCAGUGGCGAAGGCGGCUUCCUGGACCAAGACUGACGCCGAGGCGCGAAAGCGUGGGGAGCAAACAGGAUUAGAUACCCUGGUAGUCCACGCCCUAAACGAUGAGGACUAGACGUUGGGGGGAUAAAACCCUUUAGUGUCGCAGCUAACGCGUGAAGUCCUCCGCCUGGGGAGUACGGCCGCAAGGUCGAAACUCAAAGGAAUUGGCGG
This 413-nucleotide ribosomal RNA is filed under the name uncultured bacterium. RNAcentral's name for it is "bacterial SSU rRNA". It matches the Rfam family "Bacterial small subunit ribosomal RNA", at positions 505 to 916 of the family's 1533-position model. The record is from RNAcentral.